Molecule: ribosomal RNA, 600 nt
Filed under: uncultured bacterium
Lineage: Bacteria
Description: bacterial SSU rRNA
Rfam family: Bacterial small subunit ribosomal RNA
Source: RNAcentral
CGACGAGUGGCGGACGGGUGAGUAACGCGUAGGGAUCUGCCUCGUAGUGGGGGAUAACCUGGGGAAACUCAGGCUAAUACCGCAUAAGCUUUGCGAAGGAAAGCGGGGGACCUUUGGGCCUCGUGCUACGAGAUGAACCUACGUCGGAUUAGCUAGUUGGUAGGGUAACGGCCUACCAAGGCGACGAUCCGUAGCUGGUCUUAGCGGAUGGCCAGCCACACUGGGACUGAGACACGGCCCAGACUCCUACGGGAGGCAGCAGUGGGGAAUUUUGGACAAUGGGGGCAACCCUGAUCCAGCGAUGCCGCGUGGGUGAAGAAGGCCUGCGGGUUGUAAAGCCCUUUGAGUGGGGAGGAACGGUCAAGCUUUAAUACAGUUUGGCUUUGACGUAACCCACAGAACAAGCACCGGCUAACUCCGUGCCAGCAGCCGCGGUAAUACGGAGGGUGCGAGCGUUAAUCGGAAUUACUGGGCGUAAAGCGCGCGUAGGCGGUACGCUAAGUCAGCUGUGAAAGCCCUGGGCUCAACCUGGGAAUGGCAGUUGAUACUGGCGUGCUGGAGUGUGAUAGAGGGUGGUGGAAUUCCCGGUGUAGCGGUGAA